UCUGAAUGGCAAUGCAGAUUGACAAGGAUCGAGGGUUUCUUUUUCUAAAAUGCAAAUGAAAUUCCCAUGGACUGAGUCCUGUCCCAAAAAACAUACAGGGAUGAAAAUGAAUUCGAAUAGAUAUAGGCAGAUGUAGCUGUAAAUAACCACUGCAUCCACUUAAGCUGCCUUCCUCCAUCUCUACCCCCCCAUCCCCGCCCCCCACUCCCUCCUUAACCAGAUGUAGCUGAAUGGGGAGCCUUUGCAAAUAUGGGUUACAGGCGUCUCCUAGCGGCCGCAGAAGUUCACUACAAGCAGGUUGCUGCUCGCAAGAGCCCUGGCUAGGGAAAGAUAAGAAGCUUCUUUCCAGGCUCUGCUUCUUUCUCCCGAUUUUCAAGACCUCUGAAGAGGAUCUUUCAGCCGCUUGCGGGGAAAAAAAAAAAAUGCCUAUGCGCUUCAGGAAUAAACUGCGCUCAUUGUGAUCCCAGUCUCCGCGGCUGUUGCUCGACUGGAACCGAACUACUGCACGGUGAUGUUUCUUUCUGAUAAUUGGAUGAACCCUAUUUAUAAAUAUUUCUCAAUGGUUAAAAAAAAGGACAUGCUCUGUCUGGUAUUAGUAACAGAUUCCUAAUAUUUAGAGAAAAGGAAAGACAGGACCAAGGUGUCAAGAGUCAGGCCCUGAACUGGGACAUGAAUAUCUAGGGUUACACAGAUCUUCCAAAACUCCAAAGCAGAAGUUGCAGCCUAACAGCGGGCCAAGAAGGCUAAGAAAUCAAGUGCUUCUGCUGAUGCCAGUCAUAAAGGGAGAGACCAAACAGCCUCUAAACAACAAAAAUCAAGUUACCUGGUGCAUCCUUUCCGUAUGAGAAAUCAACCAUCCCUGACAAAGCAGUAUAAAACAGAAGUAGCUGUGAGGAUUCCAUUAUUGAAAAAGACAACAGAAGCAGAAGAAGCUUGACCAUAAGGGACUCAAGUUCCUAUCCAAGAUAGGCAACCCUUCCUCUAACAAGCCAGACUAAACUAAAAGCUCCAUAUCUGAUUUUGAACCUGACUGGUUGCAAUUUAGAGGAUGAAGACAGAAAUGAAGGACUUCCUUUAAAACUCCAUUUAAAACUCUAAGCCCAGAUUUCAGUUGAUACACCAGAUAAGUCAGAUAAAAUUGUGAAGUUCCCUCCAAAUUAGCCAAUUCCACAGCCGGGGAGAGCAAUAGCAGCAGUAGCAACAAUAGCAGCAGUGACUGUCUCUAAACCUAAAGUGGGGAAAGAAUCUCAUCUUCAGGGGCCAAAGUAACCACCCAGAACAGCAGUUCAGACUCAGAGAUGUUCAGUAGUAAAAAGGAUGAACUUUCACCAUCAUGCAAAUGAAUCUGAAAUGGGGAAUGCAGCCCUUCCUAAAACACCUUGGCCAAAAAUAUUCAAAGCCAAGAAUGACUGUCUGCUUCAGCCCGUGCAGAUCCAAUGAAAAGAAGAAAACCCCAAACCUUAAAAAAGCUCUAUCCUGGUGGCCAGUGCGUUUUGCCCUCCACUCACCCACAAUAAGAAGUCAAGUCCUCCUAGGGAGAGUGAAGAAAAGGAGAAGGAUCCAGCGGCCCCAAAAGUGAAGAAGUAAAAGCCUCAGACUUCAAAUAUGGUUCUCAAAGCAAGAGAGAGAAAAAGGCAUCCUCUCCUUUAUAGAAAACAAGAAGAAUGAGAUGGAUUCUCAGGAUAAUGACAAUUCCUUUGAUGUCAAGCAGGGUGCAUCUGGAGAUUAGGGAGAAAAAGCCAACAAGUUCUUGAAAUUUACAAAAAGCAAGUCUUUUGACAUGAGAGGGUCAAGAAGGAGUUGGCAGACACUGGGAGAAUGUCCUAUCCACCCAAGUGAAUUCUGUUAAAUUUGAGAAGAGUAACUUCACCUCUGGAGGCUGGUACCUAGAGCCCAGUUCUGUUUGCAGAAUCAGGAGGCUGGAGUUAGUGACCAACCAUUCAUCCAUAGUCUGAACUUGGCUGAGGACAGGUUUGCUAUGAGGAUCCUUUGGGAAGUGGUAGUAGAACAGAGAAAUAUGAAAGAAUUCUCUUGGAGGUGCGUUGCUUGGUUUUCCCUUCACUUCUCUGAAAUCCAGAUAUAGCUCAACCUAACUUGUUAAGGUCUGGAAAGGCUGUAUGUGAAGCAAAAAUGUGAAAAUUUAUAUUGAAUUUUAUAUUCCUAUUAACUAACAUUAUAGCUUGCAGAGAUUCACUUCCACAGGUGACAUUUUUGCUUCAUAGAUCAUGGUAAAAGUCACAUUUGAGAAACCUUGAUAUCUAUGGACUCAGUUAUAAAUUCUGUCAUUUUUGGGGUGGGGCGAAGAUUAAGGAUACAACCAAUUUUAGGAGAAGGUCACUCCCAAUGUAGCUAUGGGAGGGAUGAAUUUUUCCAUAACAAUCCAGUGAAACCAUCAACUCAGUCCUAGAGAUGUAAUAGUGUCCUGCAUUUAUACCAUCAAAAUCAUAGAACCUUUUAAUUUAGAAAUAAUUGUCUUUUCAGUAAGAGAAUACUUAUUAGUUCACUUAUUCUGUAUAUUUAUAAUCUUCUGCAAGCUUCACAGAGAACCAACAAAUGGGCAACAGACAAUAAUCCUUCCCUGGUUAAUUUAUUCCAUCAAGAGUUUGACCAUCCCUAUUUCACAAGAUCUCCAAACUAUAAAGUUUUUGAUCCAUAUGUUAUUUCAUAAUUAAAUGUAGGGGUCAUACAAUUUUGAUUUAUUAUUAGUGAAUGUUUGAUUUGUGUAUCUGUUUUAUGCACCUAUUUGCCUGGAGUCAUGUAAAAAUUUCUUCAGGAAAAUGGAUUGGAAAUGGAAAAGGUUAAAGUCUUGAAAAUCCAAACUUGCCCUUCUUCUUUCAUAGAUGAGGGAAAGAAGUGUCACUGAGAGACUAAGUAACUGGACAAAGAUCAGCUAGAUAAUAAAUGUACAAUAAUUGACCUCAAGUCCUCUUACUUCAAAUUUGCUGUACCAUUCUACCUCCCAUUUCUUCAAGUAUUCAGACAAACUCACUGGCCAAAAAAGCCCUAUGAAUGUACUCCUCUGAAUGUCAUUUAGUUGGACAUUGGAUCAUUGUAUAAUGAACUUCAAAGGUCAUUUUUCUUCAUCCUGAAAUAUUGUAGUAGAGUAUUGUUGAAUGUAGGCUGGGGACUCAAAUAUGUCCUGAUAAUCAUAAUCUUGCUGUCAUCCAGUUCUCCCUUAGUAUAACAUUGAUUAAAUAUUUAAUGUGGUCCAGUGAUUUCUUGACAUCCCCAGACUGUUAUGCCACAGUUCUCAGUUUCCAUAAUUAUCCUGACCCAGUCCUCACUCAGUUUCCCUGUUUCUCUGAUUUGUAAAACCUCCCCUCCUUCUUUAGCAGAAUACUUGAUAAGGAUAAAAGAUCUUAUGUUUUAGAAUAUCAGAAUGCCAAUCCCCAUCCCAAAAUAUUGGAAUGUCAGAUACUGUCUUAUCAAGAUGCCUCUCCUUGUCCAGGAGUGCCUCCCCUUAAGUAUGUCAUCCCAUCUCUGAGGCUCACCCCACCCUGUCAGAGUUCUGUUCUGGCUCUCAGUACCCUGAGUCCACCCCUACCUCAGUGUACCCCCUGCCUCUGAGCCACAUGUUUGAGAACUCACAUUGUUUCCUGGAUUCUUGGAAACGAUAGUCUCAUUUAGUCCUGGGACCAAACCAUGGAUCCAUUUGAUCCCAGUAUCUCUUUCCAUUUAAUAAACUAUUAAAUACUUUUUAAUCUCUAUCUUGAUCAGUUCCUCCGGUAUUACAUAUUAACACCCUUCUUUUAAUUGCACAGUUUAAUAAAUAUAGAUUUUUUUUAAAUUUCUUUUUUUUAAUUUUUUUAAAAAUUUCUUUCAUUUCCUUCAGAAAAAAAAUCAUUCUUUGAUAGGGAGAAGAAGGUGUAAAACUUGUUGGAAUCAUCUUAGAAUGUGAUUUGGGGUGGCAGAGUGGGAGCUGGAGAAAACAUUUUCAGUGGAAGAUUCCUCAAUAUAAUUGUUAUAAUGAAGAUAUGUAGUGAAGUGACUAAGUAUGAACUAGUGUGGGGAUGGGAGAUUGUUGUAACUGAAGUUCAUUCUGCAACCGGUUCAAUUGAUAUUGGUGGAAAUGAGAAGCAGUUCAUCAGAAUAUUAUUUUCAUUGGUCCCUUAAUUGUCCAUGAAAAUUCAGUCCUUGAAAAUGCCAUCUAGAGAGAGAACUUAUGGAGACUGAAUGUGGAUCAAAGCAU
Molecule: long non-coding RNA, 4189 nt
Organism: Sarcophilus harrisii (Tasmanian devil)
Lineage: Eukaryota; Metazoa; Chordata; Mammalia; Dasyuromorphia; Dasyuridae
Exons: 4
Source: RefSeq, a predicted model, not a curated record